RNAcentral lists this ribosomal RNA (488 nucleotides) under uncultured Archaeospora. Its description in RNAcentral is "SSU rRNA". It matches the Rfam family "Eukaryotic small subunit ribosomal RNA", at positions 569 to 1063 of the family's 1831-position model. The record is from RNAcentral. Lineage: Eukaryota; Fungi; Glomeromycota; Glomeromycetes; Archaeosporales; Archaeosporaceae.
AGCAGCCGCGGUAAUUCCAGCUCCAAUAGCGUAUAUUAAAGUUGUUGCAGUUAAAAAGCUCGUAGUUGAAUUUUGGGUUUGGCCAAUUGGUCCGUUCUUGUAACGAGUACUGGUUGGUUGGGCCUCACCGCCUGGUGAUACGUAAUGUCCUUUAUUGGGUGUUGCGAGUAGCCAGGACCUUUACCUUGAAAAAUUAGAGUGUUUAAAGCAGGCUUAUGCCGGAAUACAUUAGCAUGGAAUAAUAGAAUAGGACGAUGAUUCUAUUUUGUUGGUUUCUAGGAGCAUCGUAAUGAUUAAUAGGGAUAGUUGGGGGCAUUAGUAUUCAAUUGUCAGAGGUGAAAUUCUUGGAUUUAUUGAAGACUAACUACUGCGAAAGCAUUUGCCAAGGAUGUUUUCAUUAAUCAAGAACGAAAGUUAGGGGAUCGAAGACGAUCAGAUACCGUCGUAGUCUUAACCAUAAACUAUGCCGACUAGGGAUCGGGCGAUGU